UACGGAGGGGGCGAGCGUUAUUCGGAAUUAUUGGGCGUAAAGGGCGCGUAGGCGGCGCGAUAAGUCAAAGGCGAAAUCCCUCGGCUCAACUGAGGAACUGCCUUUGAAACUGUCGUGCUUGAGGCCGGGAGGGGGUAGCGGAAUUCCCAGUGUAGCGGUGAAAUGCGUAGAUAUUGGGAGGAACACCAGUGGCGAAGGCGGCUACCUGGACCGGUUCUGACGCUGAUGCGCGAAAGCGUGGGUAGCAAACAGG
Molecule: ribosomal RNA, 253 nt
Filed under: uncultured bacterium
Lineage: Bacteria
Description: partial 16S ribosomal RNA
Rfam family: Bacterial small subunit ribosomal RNA
Source: RNAcentral